GGGAGAAUAGUUCUAAUGGUAGAACAGUGGUCUCCAAAACCAAAGGAUAGGGGUUCGAAUCCCUUUUCUCCCG
RNAcentral lists this transfer RNA (73 nucleotides) under Mesostigma viride. RNAcentral describes it as "tRNA-Trp". It matches the Rfam family "tRNA". Rfam says of the family: Transfer RNA (tRNA) molecules are approximately 80 nucleotides in length. Their secondary structure includes four short double-helical elements and three loops (D, anti-codon, and T loops). Lineage: Eukaryota; Viridiplantae; Streptophyta; Mesostigmatophyceae; Mesostigmatales; Mesostigmataceae. The record is from RNAcentral.